CGCCUGCGCGGCCCCGAGUGCGGUGAAAUUCCUGGCGGGGGGAGCGGGAGGUGGCGGCGCUGAGGGCUCGGAGCAGGAGGCGGAGGGCGGCUCGGAGCCACGGCCGCGCUGCCCUGCCCGGGACCCUGCGUGCUGUGGCGGCCGGCGCCGAGCCAGACCCCCGGCGGGCGCGGAGCGGACGGGCUGAGGGACGCUCGCCGCCACCUCUCGCAGCGCCAGGAGCCGCGCCGUCCCCGCCGCCGCUGGGACUCCCUCCCCGGGCAGAGCGGGGGAGAAUGACGGAGCUCCAGUCCGCCUUGCUACUGCGGAGACAACUAGCAGAGCUCAACAAAAAUCCAGUGGAAGGCUUUUCAGCGGGCUUAAUAGAUGACAAUGAUCUUUAUCGAUGGGAAGUCCUUAUUAUUGGUCCUCCAGAUACACUAUAUGAAGGUGGUGUUUUCAAGGCUCAUCUUACUUUUCCAAAAGACUACCCACUGAGGCCGCCAAAAAUGAAAUUCAUCACAGAAAUCUGGCAUCCGAAUGUUGACAAGAACGGUGAUGUCUGCAUUUCAAUUCUUCAUGAGCCUGGAGAAGACAAAUAUGGCUAUGAAAAACCUGAGGAACGCUGGCUUCCCAUUCACACAGUGGAAACUAUAAUGAUUAGUGUUAUUUCUAUGCUGGCAGAUCCCAAUGGUGAUUCUCCUGCUAAUGUUGAUGCAGCGAAAGAAUGGAGAGAAGACAGAAAUGGAGAAUUUAAAAGAAAAGUUGCCCGCUGUGUAAGAAAAAGCCAAGAAACUGCUUUUGAGUGACACUUAUUCAGCAGCUAGUAGCUUCACUUUUUUCAGGGUGAUCAGUUUGGAUUUAUCCAUCUUCUGUUCAGAGGUCUCCAAUUGAGAAACAUGGCACUGUUUUUUUUCCUGCACUCUACCCACCUAUUGCUGGACUUCUGUUAUUACAAGUUGGCAAACACUGGCUGGAACUGGGCUGCAAUAAAACAUGCCAGUUAUCAAUGCUGACAAGAGCCUAACAAGUGCCAACACAAGAUGAUUACGCAUUUUGAAAUCUAAUGAACUGCUUUAACCUUCAGGAAGAAUUGUAAAGAUGUGUACAUAGCACAACAUGAUCCGGAUAAUAUAUAUACUGUUCAUGUACAUCCACAAAUACACAUUGUACCAAAUAAUGCUGUCUGUAGUUAGGGAUAGAAUUGUGUAAAUUCUAAAGAUUUUAGCAGGUUUUUUCUCUCCCUAUUCAUUGUUUCCUGAGUUAAAAAACAAAAACAAACAGCAACUUGUGAAGCAUGUCAAAACCAAUUAGGAUACUAAGUUGGUUUUUUUGGUUUUGUUUUUUUUCCCCUCCCACUUUAAUUUUCCUUUGACCCACCGAGGCUUAAUUAAAAUUUCUUGCUUAUUAAAGUAUA
Molecule: RNA transcript, 1396 nt
Organism: Oenanthe melanoleuca
Lineage: Eukaryota; Metazoa; Chordata; Aves; Passeriformes; Muscicapidae
Gene: UBE2G1
Gene name: ubiquitin conjugating enzyme E2 G1
Exons: 7
Source: RefSeq, a predicted model, not a curated record